This 328-nucleotide ribosomal RNA is filed under the name uncultured eukaryote. Its description in RNAcentral is "partial 18S ribosomal RNA". It matches the Rfam family "Eukaryotic small subunit ribosomal RNA", at positions 1470 to 1796 of the family's 1831-position model. The record is from RNAcentral.
CCCUUAGAUGUUCUGGGCUGCACGCGCGCUACACUGAUGCGCUCAACGAGUUUUAACCUUGCCUGGAAAGGUUGGGUAAUCUUUUUAAAACGCAUCGUGAUGGGGCUAGACCCUUGCAAUUAUUGGUCUCCAACGAGGAAUUCCUAGUAAACGCAAGUCAUCAGCUUGCAUUGAUUACGUCCCUGCCCUUUGUACACACCGCCCGUCGCACCUACCGAUUGAAUGGUCCGGUGAAAUCUUCGGAUUGAGACUUUGAUUUCUUCACGGAAAACGCUGUUUUAAGAAGUUGAUUAAACCUUACCAUUUAGAGGAAGGUGAAGUCGUAACA